Long non-coding RNA from Argentina anserina (silverweed cinquefoil), 1362 nucleotides. RefSeq lists it as uncharacterized. Lineage: Eukaryota; Viridiplantae; Streptophyta; Magnoliopsida; Rosales; Rosaceae. The record is from RefSeq and is a predicted model, not a curated record. The transcript has 2 exons.
CAGCGCGUACUCGUCCCUAAACCACCAUUGAAGCCCCUCCUCUCUUCUCCAGAUCUACACUCGAUGGAUGAUUCUCUUCAAAACUCACCACCAGGUUCGAUCAUAACGUUUCAGUAUCUUCCUAUUGGUGGUGGUUUUGACCUAUGAGUCUCUCGUAUUCAUCUUAACGCGUUUAGCUGGUGUUUUUCACGCUUCUAUAGUUUUUCAGAAGUUAUUGCGAAGGAGCCCAUCUCAGAUCUGAAGCCGUGGAGCUGUUUUUUCCGAUGCGACGAUUCCGAUCUGAAAUCUGGUGGCUAAAGGAGGCUGGAGUUUAUGAUGUUUGGUUAUUCGGCGUGUAAUUGUAGUCAUGAAUUGAAAUUGGAAGAUAGAAAGGAGCUUUAGGUGUGAUUGUUGAUUGUUGAUAUGGAUGUAUAAGAUAUCGGCCGGGAUUGGCUCAGGUGAUGAGUGGGUCUUGGACCGAUCUUUGUCAUCCGGCCUUUGCCAUGGCAGGUGCGCUUGCAUGGCAGGUCAAAACAAAUUAAUAAAAAAAGAGAGGUUUGUUGGUUCGGAGGGGAAGACAGCAUGGGAGUUUUGAUUUAUUUGCCCAGGGUCUUCCUCUCUGUGUGUGCUCUGUGUCCUGCUUGCUUUCUUUAUUCCCCUUUAUAUUUGCCUGCCUGCAAAUCUCACACUCGGAUUCUGGUCAUCUUCAGCGGCAAUAUUCGGCACCAAUUCUAAGGUAUUAUGCAACUAAUUCUAUUAUCUCUGAUUAUUUACUCUGGUACAUAGCAGGUUCAUCAUAAUAAUGCGUCAAUAUUCGCAUAUACCCUGCAAUAUUCCUAUAUAUCUGCCUAAUAUUCUUAUACGAGUGCGUAAUUUUUCUCUUUCCCAAGGCAACUUGGUACAUUCAACUUAUCUACCUGGUUAUGCAAGUUGAUCAAGUCUUGGUCUUUGUUAUACAAGUUCACCAAGGCGUAUUGCUUAUCUACCUGGUUUGCCAAAUUCCGUUAGUUUUUGCUAAUCAACAAGAUUGUUCAAAUGCAAUGUGCGGGUGAAUAUAUUAAUCAUUGUUCCUUCAGACACAAGUUCCUGGUCUAUUUGAAGACAUAAAAUUAACUAUAUUUGACAUAUUUUGUAUGCAUGUGAACUUGAAAAGUCCUUAUGAUUACAGUUUGCUGUAAGUAAUUCACUGAUCCACUCACUUAUAAAUGAGGUAAUUCUGUUUAAAUCAUGUUCCAUUGUCCAUGUUAUUGUGAAAUUAUUCCAUAUUUCUGCUCUUGAUAUAUAGUUUAUUUACACCUGCCUUGAGCUGGUGAUUGAUGGUACCGCACGGUUCCUCUCCCCCAAGUUGAUGAAUAAAUUCUGCCAUUGGCAAGUUGUAUUCAA